GACGAACGCUGGCGGCGUGCUUAACACAUGCGAGUCGAACGGAAAGGCCCUGCUUUUGUGGGGAGCUCGAGUGGCGAACGGGUGAGUAACACGUGAGUAACCUGCCCUUGACUUUGGGAUAACUUCAGGAAACUGGGGCUAAUACCGGAUAGGAGCUCCUGCUGCAUGGUGGGGGUUGGAAAGUUUCGGCGGUUGGGGAUGGACUCGCGGCUUAUCAGCUUGUUGGUGGGGUAGUGGCUUACCAAGGCUUUGACGGGUAGCCGGCCUGAGAGGGUGACCGGCCACAUUGGGACUGAGAUACGGCCCAGACUCCUACGGGAGGCAGCAGUGGGGAAUAUUGCACAAUGGGCGGAAGCCUGAUGCAGCAACGCCGCGUGCGGGAUGACGGCCUUCGCGUUGUAAACCGCUUUCGCCUGUGACGAAGCGUGAGUGACGGUAAUGGGUAAAGAAGCACCGGCUAACUACGUG
RNAcentral lists this ribosomal RNA (468 nucleotides) under uncultured bacterium. RNAcentral's name for it is "partial 16S ribosomal RNA". It matches the Rfam family "Bacterial small subunit ribosomal RNA", at positions 28 to 507 of the family's 1533-position model. The record is from RNAcentral.